Molecule: ribosomal RNA, 1083 nt
Filed under: Triticum aestivum (bread wheat)
Lineage: Eukaryota; Viridiplantae; Streptophyta; Magnoliopsida; Poales; Poaceae
Description: partial small subunit ribosomal RNA
Source: RNAcentral
AUGUUGCAUGAGCUAGGUCAGCGGCAAGGUACGGAUCUGUAUAUGCUCAUGGACGACAUGGACGACUCGCGCCUGUUCAUGCAGUGGGCGGUGAGCACACUGGAGCAGCAGGAUCCAGGAGACGCCAACGGCAGCAGCGAGAAGAGCGCCGGCUUCCCGUGUCUCCAGGCGCUCCGCGAUUCCUCUGAGCUGACGGAAGCACAGAACAGUCUGAGCUCCGGCGACGACACCGGCAGCGGUGGAGGAAUCAUCACCCCAGCCCCCGAUUCGGCUGUGCACCAAGGCAGUUGGUCCAUGUUGUCCCCGACCUCGGGCGGGCCGUUCGCGCCCAGCAGCAUGAGCAGCACCGGCACCAGCAACGCCCUGUCCAUGAGCUGGGACUUCGGCGCUGCCUUGCCGCCGCAGCCGGUCAGCAGCGGUGGCGGGGGCACACUGGCCGCCGGGGCACCGCUUCGUUCCGGCGUGUCACAGCCGACGAGGAGGGCCUCCACAAAGAGCACGCCGUACGCGCAAGACCACAUCAUGGCGGAGCGGAAGCGCAGGGAGAAGAUCAACCAGCGCUUCAUCGAGCUCUCCGCCGUCAUUCCCGGCCUCAAGAAGAUGGACAAGGGGACGAUUCUUGCCGACGCGACCAGAUACGUGAAGGAGCUCCAAGAGAGGGUCAAGUACCUGGAGGCUGCCGGCGGCAACCACAGGAGCGUUGAGACCGUGGUGCUCGUCUGGAAGCCACGGUGCCUCGUCGCCCCGGACGGUGAGGCAUGUCCGGGGUUCUUCUCGGCAGCUGGGACGCCGGCAAAUGGGAGCCAGCUGCCGGAGAUCGAGGCAAAGCUCUCGGAGGACAACGUCAUGGUGAGGAUCCACUGUGAAAUAAAUGGAAAGGGUCUGGUCGCCAGGGUUCUUGCGGAGGUCGAGGAGCUCCACCUCCGCAUCGUCCACAACAAUGUGAUGCCGUUCACGGUGUCCACCGUGAUUAUUACCACCAUGGCAAAGGUGGAGGAGGGCUUUACCGUCAACACAGAGGAGAUAGUAGGAAGACUCAACUCUGCAUUGUACCAACAUAGCAGUGGCAACAAAAAUUAUUAA